AUGCAGUCGAACGAGGCAGCGGCCUUCAGGCCGUUGUCGAGUGGCGAACGGGUGAGUAACACGUGAGGAACCUGCCCCGGAGACCGGGAUAACCAGGGGAAACUCUGGCUAAUACCGGACGCCCCCGGAUGGUCGCAUGGCCAACCGAGGAAACGCUCCGGUGCUCCGGGAGGGCCCCGCGGCCUAUCAGCUUGUUGGUGGGGUAACGGCCCACCAAGGCAUCGACGGGUAGCUGGUCUGAGAGGACGAUCAGCCACACUGGGACUGAGACGCGGCCCAGACUCCUACGGGAGGCAGCAGUGGGGAAUAUUGCGCAAUGGGCGAAAGCCUGACGCAGCAACGCCGCGUGGGGGAUGACGGCCUUCGGGUUGUAAACCCCUUUCGGCAGGGACGAAAAUGACGGUACCUGCAGAAGAAGCCCCGGCCAACUACGUGCCAGCAGCCGCGGUAACACGUAGGGGGCGAGCGUUGUCCGGAUUUAUUGGGCGUAAAGAGCUCGUAGGCGGUUGCGUAAGUCGGAUGUGAAAACUCAGGGCUCAACCCGGAGACGCCAUCCGAUACUGCGCUGGCUAGAGUCCGGUAGGGGAGCAUGGGAUUCCUGGUGUAGCGGUGAAAUGCGCAGAUAUCAGGAGGAACACCAGUGGCGAAGGCGGUGCUCUGGGCCGGUACUGACGCUGAGGAGCGAAAGCGUGGGGUAGCGAACAGGAUUAGAUACCCUGGUAGUCCACGCCGUAAACGUUGGGCACUAGGUGUGGGGCCUACUUAACGGGUUCCGUGCCGUAGCUAACGCAUUAAGUGCCCCGCCUGGGGAGUACGGCCGCAAGGCUAAAACUCAAAGGAAUUGACGGGGGCCCGCACAAGCGGCGGAGCAUGUUGCUUAAUUCGAGGCAACGCGA
RNAcentral lists this ribosomal RNA (896 nucleotides) under uncultured Acidimicrobiia bacterium. RNAcentral's name for it is "bacterial SSU rRNA". It matches the Rfam family "Bacterial small subunit ribosomal RNA", at positions 55 to 964 of the family's 1533-position model. The record is from RNAcentral. Lineage: Bacteria; Bacillati; Actinomycetota; Acidimicrobiia.